AUGCCGUGAUGAUGGCACUUUUGUAAUAACUCUUUGAAUUGCUCACAUGCCUUAUAUAAAGAUUCUUUAUCAUGUUGCUGAAAUAAAGUGAUUUCAUUUCAGAUUUU
This is a non-coding RNA of Gossypium arboreum, 107 nucleotides long. The record is from Rfam. Lineage: Eukaryota; Viridiplantae; Streptophyta; Magnoliopsida; Malvales; Malvaceae.